ACAUCUCAAUUGAUAUUCGUUUGAUUGGAAAGCAUUGUUCACUUCACACGUAGUAUAAAAAUAACAAAUUACAUAGGAAAAGAAUAAAUCAAGUUCAACAUACAAAUCAUGUUUUUGGUGCUCAAUACAUACAUUAAUACAUAUAAAUGAAGUGUAAGACACCGCUAAAACAAUGAAUAAGAAAAAAGCUUGAACAAAAAGGGUCUCUUAAACUCCAUCUAAAGGACAUGUCA
This 233-nucleotide long non-coding RNA is filed under the name Trifolium pratense (red clover). Its description in RNAcentral is "long non-coding RNA (TPRA_LNC008633)". The record is from RNAcentral. Lineage: Eukaryota; Viridiplantae; Streptophyta; Magnoliopsida; Fabales; Fabaceae.